RNAcentral lists this transfer RNA (58 nucleotides) under Drosophila capricorni. Its description in RNAcentral is "tRNA-Arg". Lineage: Eukaryota; Metazoa; Arthropoda; Insecta; Diptera; Drosophilidae. The record is from RNAcentral.
GAAUAUGAAGCGAUAUAUUGCAUUUAGUUUCGACCUAAUUUUAGGUAAUUUUACCCUU